AUGUUUCCUUUGAAUUUAGAAGAAGAGAUUCCAGCCAUAAGAUUCUUAAGUUCGUUGGCUCUGCGGCCGCAUCAUGGCAAGACGGCCACAAGGCAGCUAUUGCAUCCAGGCACACAAAGGCCACUGAUUGGAUCAGCGCGAAGAAACCCGUUCGGAUUGCCGCCGCAAGCCUCGCGUCAACAACAAAUCAACGUCUGCACCUACAUCCACUUCGACAGGCCGUCAGUCAAAGCAGAAAUUGCAGGAUGUUAUCUGCAUCAAUGA
This 264-nucleotide ribosomal RNA is filed under the name Triticum aestivum (bread wheat). RNAcentral's name for it is "partial small subunit ribosomal RNA". The record is from RNAcentral. Lineage: Eukaryota; Viridiplantae; Streptophyta; Magnoliopsida; Poales; Poaceae.